Molecule: ribosomal RNA, 253 nt
Filed under: uncultured bacterium
Lineage: Bacteria
Description: partial 16S ribosomal RNA
Rfam family: Bacterial small subunit ribosomal RNA
Source: RNAcentral
UACGUAGGGGCCUAGCGUUGUCCGGAUUUAUUGGGCGUAAAGAGCACGUAGGCGGCAAGGUAUGUCGGGUGUGAAAUCCCUCGGCCUAACCGAGGAAUUGCGCCCGAAACUACCGUGCUUGAGGAUGGAAGGGGAGCGUGGAAUUCCUGGUGGAGCGGUGAAAUGCGUUGAUAUCAGGAGGAACACCGGCGGCGAAGGCGACGCUCUGGUCCAUUACUGACGCUGAGGUGCGAAAGCCAGGGGAGCAAACGGG